This 468-nucleotide ribosomal RNA is filed under the name uncultured bacterium. RNAcentral's name for it is "partial 16S ribosomal RNA". It matches the Rfam family "Bacterial small subunit ribosomal RNA", at positions 28 to 507 of the family's 1533-position model. The record is from RNAcentral.
GACGAACGCUGGCGGCGUGCUUAACACAUGCAAGUCGAACGGAAAGGCCCUGCUUUUGUGGGGUGCUCGAGUGGCGAACGGGUGAGUAACACGUGAGUAACCUGCCCUUGACUUUGGGAUAACUUCAGGAAACUGGGGCUAAUAUCGGAUAGGAGCUCCUGCUGCAUGGUGGGGGUUGGAAAGUUUCGGCGGUGGGGGAUGGACUCGCGGCUUAUCAGCUUCUUGGUGGGGUAGUGGCUUACGAAGGCUUUGACGGGUAGCCGGCCUGAGAGGGGGACCGGCCACAUUGGGCCUGAGGUAGGGACCAGACUCCUACGGGAGGCAGUAGGGGGGAAUAUGGCGCAAUGGGGCGAAGCCUGAUGCAGCAACGCCGCGUGCGGGAUGACGGCCUUCGGGUUGUAAACCGCUUUCGCCUGUGACGAAGCGUGAGUGACGGUAAUGGGUAAAGAAGCACCGGCUAACUACGUG